AGUGAACGCUGGCGGUAGGCCUAACACAUGCAAGUCGAACGGCAGCACAGUAAGAGCUUGCUCUUACGGGUGGCGAGUGGCGGACGGGUGAGGAAUACAUCGGAAUCUACUUUUUCGUGGGGGAUAACGUAGGGAAACUUACGCUAAUACCGCAUACGACCUACGGGUGAAAGCAGGGGAUCUUCGGACCUUGCGCGAUUGAAUGAGCCGAUGUCGGAUUAGCUAGUUGGCGGGGUAAAGGCCCACCAAGGCGACGAUCCGUAGCUGGUCUGAGAGGAUGAUCAGCCACACUGGAACUGAGAAACGGUCCAGACUCCUACGGGAGGCAGCAGUGGGGAAUAUUGGACAAUGGGCGCAAGCCUGAUCCAGCCAUACCGCGUGGGUGAAGAAGGCCUCCGGGUUGUAAAGCCCUUUUGUUGGGAAAGAAAAGCAGCAGGUUAAUACCCCGCUGUUCUGACGGUACCCAAAGAAUAAGCACCGGCUAACUUCGU
RNAcentral lists this ribosomal RNA (491 nucleotides) under uncultured bacterium. RNAcentral describes it as "partial 16S ribosomal RNA". It matches the Rfam family "Bacterial small subunit ribosomal RNA", at positions 29 to 506 of the family's 1533-position model. The record is from RNAcentral.